CAGUCGCCGCGGUAAUACAGAGGGUGCAAGCGUUAAUCGGAAUUACUGGGCGUAAAGCGCGCGUAGGUGGUUCGCCAAGUUGGAUGUGAAAUCCCCGGGCUCAACCUGGGAACUGCAUCCAAAACUGGCGAGCUAGAGUAUGGUAGAGGGUGGUGGAAUUUCCUGUGUAGCGGUGAAAUGCGUAGAUAUUCGGAAGAACACCAGUGGCGAAGGCGGCCCGCUGGACAAGUAUUGACGCUGAUGUGCGAAAGCGUGGGGAGCAAACAGGAUUAGAUACCCCUGUAGUCCCUGUCUCUUAUAC
Molecule: ribosomal RNA, 301 nt
Filed under: uncultured bacterium
Lineage: Bacteria
Description: partial 16S ribosomal RNA
Rfam family: Bacterial small subunit ribosomal RNA
Source: RNAcentral